UACGAAGGGGGCUAGCGUUGCUCGGAAUUACUGGGCGUAAAGCGCACGUAGGCGGAUUGUUAAGUCAGAGGUGAAAUCCUGGAGCUCAACUCCAGAACUGCCUUUGAUACUGAAAGUCUUGAGUAUGGGAGAGGUGAGUGGAACUGCGAGUGUAGAGGUGAAAUUCGUAGAUAUUCGCAAGAACACCAGUGGCGAAGGCGGCUCACUGGCCCAUUACUGACGCUGAGGCACGAAAGCGUGGGGAGCAAACAGG
RNAcentral lists this ribosomal RNA (253 nucleotides) under uncultured bacterium. RNAcentral describes it as "partial 16S ribosomal RNA". It matches the Rfam family "Bacterial small subunit ribosomal RNA", at positions 524 to 776 of the family's 1533-position model. The record is from RNAcentral.